RNAcentral lists this ribosomal RNA (165 nucleotides) under uncultured bacterium. RNAcentral describes it as "partial 16S rRNA". It matches the Rfam family "Bacterial small subunit ribosomal RNA", at positions 355 to 511 of the family's 1533-position model. The record is from RNAcentral.
UAGGGAAUCUUCCACAAUGGACGCAAGUCUGAUGGAGCAACGCCGCGUGAGUGAAGAAGGUCUUCGGAUACGUAAAACUCUGUUGUUAGAGAAGAACACGNGUGAGAGUAACUGUUCAUUCGAUGACGGUAUCUAACCAGCAAGUCACGGCUAACUACGUGCCAG